RNAcentral lists this long non-coding RNA (404 nucleotides) under Rattus norvegicus (Norway rat). Its description in RNAcentral is "long non-coding RNA NONRATT011411". The record is from RNAcentral. Lineage: Eukaryota; Metazoa; Chordata; Mammalia; Rodentia; Muridae.
AUCGGAUUGCAGCUGUGUGGGAAAGGCCCAAGCAGUUCCUGUCCCCAGGCCAAGGCUGGGAGGGCUGAAGGGAUAGGGGUCUCAGGAACUUCUGGGCUGGCUUUUGGCAUUGGUACCGAGUGCCCGAUCUGGGUCUGCAGGGAGCCUGCUUCAGGAUGCUUUGCUCCCUCGCUGGGACAGCCUACCUUGAAUUCAGAUUGACUGUUGCCAAGCAUGUAGAUGCUCCCAGCUCUGUUUGUGACACAGCCUGCAGCCAGAGGCAGUGUCUUGUGGGGUUCUUUACCUUGGGUUAUUUACUUAGUUAUGUUUUGUUGUUGCGUUGGGGUUUGUUUGUUUGUUUGUUUGUUUUUAGGUUUUGCCACCAUGCCCAGGACUUAUCCUGGUUCUUCAGGUUAGGUUCAGAU